Molecule: RNA transcript, 5717 nt
Organism: Harpia harpyja (harpy eagle)
Lineage: Eukaryota; Metazoa; Chordata; Aves; Accipitriformes; Accipitridae
Gene: CDK7
Gene name: cyclin dependent kinase 7
Exons: 13
Source: RefSeq, a predicted model, not a curated record
ACCCUCCCCCCUGCCAGCCAUGGACGCGCGGGCGCGUGCCAAGCGCUACGAGAAGCUCGACUUCUUAGGAGAGGGGCAGUUCGCUACUGUCUACAAAGCAAGGGAUAAGAACAGCAACCGAAUCGUGGCUAUUAAAAAGAUUAAACUGGGACAUAGAUCAGAAGCUAAAGAUGGAAUCAACAGAACAGCCCUCAGGGAGAUAAAAUUGUUACAGGAGCUAAGCCAUCCAAAUAUUAUUGGUCUUCUAGAUGCAUUUGGACACAAGUCCAACAUUAGUUUGGUGUUUGAUUUUAUGGAAACGGAUCUAGAGGUUAUUAUAAAGGAUACUAGUAUUGUGUUGACACAAUCUCACAUCAAGGCAUAUAUGCUGAUGACACUUCAAGGAUUAGAGUAUUUACAUCAACACUGGAUUCUACACAGGGAUCUUAAACCAAAUAAUUUGUUGUUAGAUGAAAAUGGGGUUUUAAAAUUGGCUGACUUUGGCUUGGCAAAAUCUUUUGGAAGCCCAAAUAGAGUUUAUACACACCAGGUAGUAACAAGAUGGUACCGAGCCCCAGAACUAUUGUUUGGUGCUAGAAUGUAUGGUGUUGGUGUUGAUAUGUGGGCUGUUGGUUGUAUUUUAGCUGAAUUGCUCCUCAGGGUUCCUUUCUUGCCUGGAGACUCUGAUCUUGACCAGCUGACAAGGAUAUUUGAAACACUGGGCACCCCAAUGGAAGAACAGUGGCCUGGGAUGACAAGUCUUCCAGAUUAUGUUGCAUUUAAGUCUUUCCCUGGAAUGCCACUUCAACAUAUCUUCAGUGCAGCUGGUGAUGAUUUACUCAACCUUCUGCAAGGCUUAUUCACAUUUAAUCCUUGCACUAGGGUUACGGCUACUCAGGCAUUGAAACAGAAGUAUUUCAGUAACCGACCAGGACCCACUCCAGGAAAUCAGCUGCCAAGACCCAACUGUCCUGCAGAAGCUGUAAAGGAGCAACAAAAUGCACUUUUACAUUUAAAAAAGAGAAGAACAGAAGGAAUAGAUCAAGCCUCAAGAUUGCUUUAAGAGAUGGAGGGAGGUCCAGCUGGGAAAACUAUACCAGCCCUCUUGUCAACCUGUGGCUGUUGAACAAUUCAUAAUGCAGAUACUGGGCUAAGCUCUGUUGCGUGAUUUCCAGCAUGGCUGUGUUGCAAAGUGGCUGCUCGGUAACCAAGCUUCUGCAAUGGAGAGAAACAAGCCAGUAGGUGCUGUUGAUGCAGCUUAACCGCAUGCCCACCCCUGUUGUGCAGUGGAUCUCGGGGAUACCUGGUGAGCCAUUGUCAUUUUCCCACCUGUGAGCUGCUUUCAGCAUUUUGUUUUCUAGUGUAUGUAGCAAGUGUAUUAAUAGAAGACUUUGAGGCUUGUAGAGGAAGAGCAACCAUCUUCUUGCUCCUGUGUUAUUUCAUUUUACUCCUACCUUGAGCCAGUGUGAAGUAUGCUGGCCUUGUAAGACAGAACAGUUACUAAUCUCCCAAUACCCUACUGUGUUCUGUAUUGGUUAUUGGCAGUUGAAAAUUAAACUUAAAUUUCCUACUAAGAUCUAAUAGACAGUGUAGAGAAAAUGUUUAUCAAAUAACAUUAGUUACAGCAGUUUUUACUGUCUGUGUAAUCAAACAUCAUCAUCCUCCAUGCAGGCUGGGGGAUUAAGAGAACUGCAGUCCUAUUUCUCACAGGCAUAUGUACAAAAAUAUGUUAAUCUGAACAGGGAACAGAGUUAGGAGUACUGUGAACUUUUUUGCAUUUAACUUACGUAGGACAGCAUUCUGACUGGACUUCAAAGCCUGAAAACCUUCAGCCCCCUAAAACAGAUACUGCAUUUUUCAGUGACUAUCCUAACUAUUGGGUAUAACAAAUAGAGUUUGCAUGGCAGUGACAAUUUUAAGUAUUCUGUCAGCUCUGCUUUGACAGUAACACUAUUCCCUUCUUGUCAAAUGCUGCAUGUGUCUAGAUGAUACCCUUCCCUGAAGGAAACCUUUUCUAGUAGACCAAGUAGCAAUCCUCUAAGCUUCUAUUGUCAAAAGUUGUAGAGUAGGUACUGAGUUAGAUGGGCAGUCAGUGUUUGAAUGUAGGGAGCAUGGUUACUGUGCUCUUUAAUAGUGGGGUUGAAGAGAGAGGAUAUUUUGUGACCAAGGCUAUUGUCUUGUAUGCUUGGAGUCAUGUGUUUACCACAGCAGAUGCUCAAAAAUAGCAAUGCUUCUAUAUAAUGUAAGUUUAGGAGCUGUUCUCUUCCAGCUCCGACACUGCAAUUCAUUUGGCAUACUGUGUGCUGCAUGUAUGGUUGGGUCCUGUUCUGUACUGUGAGGGUAUAUAGUAAGUCUUGUUUGCAGCUGAGUUCAUGAAUGAGGCCACCUGUGUCAGGGACUAAAAUUGCCUUGCUCUUAAUGGUGGUGUUGUGCAUAGAUAAAGUGCAUGUAUAUCACAGAGUAAGAUAAGAUUAGAAAAAGGAUCAUCGUGAUUUUUUUUUCUUAAUCUGAGGCUUUUGGAUAGUUUGAUUUAACUUCUGCGACUUAGGUCAGAAGUCUGGAAGGAAUAUUUGAGACUCUGGGAAAAUAUAAUCUGGGUAAAUUAAUACGCAUUCAUAUGCUAUUAAUCAUCUAAAUACUGUUUAAUUUGUGACUUGGUUACCUUGUAAGCUUUAUAUCAUGCUAAUCAUGCUUCAGCUUUGACAAUCCAUCUUUUAUCACACCAACUCAUUGAAUAUACAGCUGCUGCAAUCUACUUGGCUUCUGUUCAGAACCACAACAGUCAAGGUUGGUUUGUCUUGAGCCUGCAAUGUGCAUGCUUGCACAAAGGUCCAAGUUGUACACUUGUGCAAACUGGAAUGUAACCUAAAUGCCUUCUCUCCUGGGUUGAGACAGUCCUUCCCUUACCACCUUUUUAUCAUGAGUUACUGCUGUUUCUUCCUGAAAGAUACCAGGAUUACUUGUGGUGGCAUGGAGAACAAGGACUGCUAGCUAUCACGUCCUCAUCUUGUCCCCCUGGUUCUCGAUUGGUGCCAACGCUGUGUGAUCCCUGCAGCCUUUUUGUUACGACAAAGAAGGCUCAGAGCCAGAUUGAGUUGUAACAGAGUUGUUGCUUUGCAUUUAUGGUAUGCUCUUUUUCAUGGUGUGGCCUUGAUGCUGUCAGGACUCCAGGCAGCACUGCCAGUCCUUUACUUUUACCUGUGUUCAUUCUUGGCUUUUGUGCCUGUUCUUGUUCUCUUGACUGACUGCAUGUAUACUGCUCAGUUAACACCUACUCAGCCAUUUCUUCUUGUGCACAAAUGUUUAUGCUCCAUGUGCUCCAAUGUAAUGAUUCAUUUACAGAGCAGGUUUCACCUGUGACCUUUUAAUACUCAUUUGCCUCUCUGAGAGAAGGGAGAAAUUCUUUAAAAAAAGGCUAUCGUUAGGCCUGCUUUUCUUUUGAAUCCCUCUGUUCCCCCUUGCAUUUCAUACUCAACUGUGUUGACUUUGUCUCUGAGGUAAGGUAUUCUCUCCAUCAGGCUGUAAUAAAAUCACAGGGUAAAACAGGGAUAGGUCUGGAUGUAAUUUGUCAGGCUGAGAUAGAGAAACUUCUUGGAGAGCUAUACUGAGUGCUUUGAACGCUUUUGGCAGGCUGUGUUUUGACAUACACUUUGCUGAUAUUCAGUAGUGUGAGAGGCUGGGGAAAAGACAUGCAUGGCUGCAGUCUCUUUUUGGCUCCAAAAUACAGCACUGCCUAGGAAAACUUUCUGUUGAUUCUAACCUUCCCGAAGACCUGCUCGGAAUUAGAUUUGUUCCUCUUGUAGCCCACCACCACUACCAAGAAGGGUCCAGAAGCAGCUCUGUUCUCGCUAGCUUGAGAACUCUGCUUGGCCAAACUUUGUUCGUUGUAUAAUGCCAACUUCUCACUUUCAAGCUUCCCCAGGUACAGCAGGAAUAAAAUCUUAGCUUUGAUGCUAUUGAACUAGCUUUGUGUCAUCUCUGUGGUCAAUUCUAGUUUGUUUUGGUUUGUUUUCUUCUAUUUGUGAGCACUUACUCAGAAAAUGUCUAUUUAUUUCCUUUUAGAAACUCUUUCAAAUAAAAGGACAGGGGGUUGGGUGGGGAGGGGUCUGUCUCUUCCUUCCAAAGAAUUAAAUCCACAGGCAGGCAGGUCCUGCACAAGGAUUUUCUGAGAAGCUUGCUGUGUGGUCAGUACAGAGGCCAUCAGGGUUGUGACAGUUUCCUUUAGUCCUGUCAGCUCAAAUUGUGCCCAGAAACCUUCACACUAACAGCAUUCAUUGCUGUGAUAAGAAGAGAAUAGUAUGCAGAGAAGGGAGGAGGAGAGGGGGAAUUUCACUCUUAAUUAGAAAGCAUUAGUGCAAUGUGGUUUAUGCCUACUACGAGAUAUUUGUGCAACUUCAGCAGGGACACUGACAGUUACACGAAGCUGACUUAGCUCACAACCUGUUGUCAAUGUGGUUUGGUUUUGGGAAACCUCCAGUUUGGGCCAGGCUGGUAGGCAGGUACCCUGAAAGAAUACCUACACUGUCCUGCAUGGAUUUGCCAUCUGUGAAUGAAUCUGUCUGUCUCUUUUUUUUUUUUUUUUCUAAGGGAAGAAGUUCACUGACAAAGAAAAUUAACAGAUAAUUAACAAAGUAUUGCAAUCUGACAGUUCUGAAGAAGCUUGCUACUGGGUUGACAAAUGUAAAACUGUCUUUUUCUUGCUACUUGAAAUUUACCCAUAUGUUCAGGAGCUUCCUCUGGUUUUCUCACAUCAGCAUCCUUAGGAAGUCAACAGUGCAGAAAGACAGUGCCACCAUGGUUUCUAUCUUUAUAUAUGAUGGUGGAAAGCUAUUUUAAUCUAUCAGACUUAAUUGCAGUUAAAAUGCUGAUUUACAGUCGGAUCAGCUUUUCCUGCCACUAGAGGGAGUGUCUGACAGAGAAAUAAGGCAGAUGGUCGGAUGUGGUAACAACUGUGUGACCUUAACCUAACCCUUGUCUCUCCCAUAAUCAUCACUCUGCCAGCUUGGAGGUCCUUGUAAGGAUGGAGAGCUGGGCUGUCUCUCAGCAUGCAGCUUGAGCCUGCUUAACUUCGUAUUCUUGUAGAACUUCUUUAAUAAGACCUUUUAUAUUGACCUUAUCUAGUAACUUGGGCGCAUGCAAGCUUCCUUUAUUUCAUGUGUCACUCACUAACUCCAGUAAGAGUUAGGGCCUCAAGCCAGCACCAGGCUCCCUGCUGCUGGCUGGUGACCUGAGUGUCAGAAAUGUGUAAGUGUGCUGGGAAACACUGCUGUCUCCUUUUCUCCUAGCACAAUGUUUCCUUACUGUCAUCUGACUUGAAUGUCUGCAUCAGUUAUUUGUAAGGUAAAGGUAUUAGCUGUGAUUAAUAAACCUGAGACAUCACAUAAUAAAAUACUGAUUUAGGAAUGAAAAGCUAUACUGCAUACAGUUGCUGAGAGGUCAGAAAGAAUGACACUUAUAACUGGCAUUACAUGGUAUUGUGCUAAAAAGGGUCAACAAAGAGCGUGCAAAUGCAGCACCUGAAGAGUUCAGCACGAAGUUGUGUAAUACUACUUCUCUGUACUUUUGUUACAAAAAUUAACCUACUCAGAAAGGUUUAGCUGGUGCAUUUCCUUAAUAGACAAUGCAGAUCUUAAUCCACUUCGAAUUAACAUUGGCAUGAAAAAACAACUAAGCAACCAGUUUGUUAAACUAUCAUUCUCAAAAUAAAAGUGUGUUUUUUUAAGCAAAUUUGCCUGGAA